GAUGAACGCUGGCGGCGUGCCUAAUACAUGCAAGUCGAGCGAACAGACGAGGAGCUUGCUCCUCUGACGUUAGCGGCGGACGGGUGAGUAACACGUGGAUAACCUACCUAUAAGACUGGGAUAACUUCGGGAAACCGGAGCUAAUACCGGAUAACAUGUUGAACCGCAUGGUUCAACAGUGAAAGACGGUCUUGCUGUCACUUAUAGAUGGAUCCGCGCCGCAUUAGCUAGUUGGUAAGGUAACGGCUUACCAAGGCAACGAUGCGUAGCCGACCUGAUAGGGUGAUCGGCCACACUGGAACUGAGACACGGUCCAGACUCCUACGGGAGGCAGCAGUAGGGAAUCUUCCGCAAUGGGCGAAAGCCUGACGGAGCAACGCCGCGUGAGUGAAGAAGGUCUUCGGAUCGUAAAACUCUGUUAUUAGGGAAGAACAAAUGUGUAAGUAACUAUGCACGUCUUGACGGUACCUAAUCAGAAAGCCACGGCUAACUACGUG
Molecule: ribosomal RNA, 497 nt
Filed under: uncultured bacterium
Lineage: Bacteria
Description: partial 16S ribosomal RNA
Rfam family: Bacterial small subunit ribosomal RNA
Source: RNAcentral